Molecule: long non-coding RNA, 654 nt
Organism: Salarias fasciatus (jewelled blenny)
Lineage: Eukaryota; Metazoa; Chordata; Actinopteri; Blenniiformes; Blenniidae
Exons: 4
Source: RefSeq, a predicted model, not a curated record
CCUGCGGCUCCGGAGACACGGGGCAGGACACGGCUCACUGUAACGGGAUAAAAACGGAUUCGGACAGUUGAGAGUGAGCCGGAAGCUCUCAUCGCCAUGGAAGUCAGUGCACGGAGCAGCAGCACCACCUACUGGCAGCCUGACAGACUGCACCAGGGGCCGGCUGGACGCAGACCAGUGGAGUGGACCACAUCUUCAGCAGCAUCCAGAGGACCAGAGGGCGGCAGAAGAAGGUGUCAGGAGAGGCAGGAGGCUAAGUGCAGACGGUCGGAGGCUGGGGAGGGUACCACAGAAAGUUUGGCCGUGGCAUCAGCUCCCUCUUCUAGCCCUGAACACGGUCUUCCUGAUCCAGUCCUGCUGGAACGAUGGGAGGUGUUCAUUCCAGCGCACAGGAAGCUCUGCAGGUGGAUGGAGCGCUGAACUCAAGCAGCCUGAUGGAGCAGCAGUGCUUCUAGAAGGGCUCCUGGUCGUCCUCGUGCUGCAUCGGUCUGUGUUCUCCAUGCGCCGUGGUGUCAGUGUCCAGCAGGUGGCGGUACAGAGCUGCGAUCAGGUCUGCGUUGGGAUUUAUCUCAUGGCUUCAGAAGAGAUAUCUAACACGAGAUGCACUUUCAGAAUGUUUAGAGCUGUUAAAGAAUUUGUGUUAUUUAAGUUUAA